RNAcentral lists this ribosomal RNA (301 nucleotides) under uncultured bacterium. RNAcentral describes it as "partial 16S ribosomal RNA". It matches the Rfam family "Bacterial small subunit ribosomal RNA", at positions 509 to 807 of the family's 1533-position model. The record is from RNAcentral.
CAGCCGCCGCGGGAAUACAGAGGGUGCAAGCGUUAAUCAGAAUUACUGGGCGUAAAGCGCGCGUAGGUGGUUUGUUAAGUUGGAUGUGAAAGCCCCGGGCUCAACCUGGGAACUGCAUCCAAAACUGGCAAGCUAGAGUACGGUAGAGGGUGGUGGAAUUUCCUGUGUAGCGGUGAAAUGCGUAGAUAUAGGAAGGAACACCAGUGGCGAAGGCGACCACCUGGACUGAUACUGACACUGAGGUGCGAAAGCGUGGGGAGCAAACAGGAUUAGAUACCCCCGUAGUCCCUGUCUCUUAUAC